RNAcentral lists this small RNA (149 nucleotides) under Candidatus Filomicrobium marinum. Its description in RNAcentral is "Alphaproteobacterial sRNA BjrC1505". It matches the Rfam family "Alphaproteobacterial sRNA BjrC1505". The record is from Rfam by way of RNAcentral. Lineage: Bacteria; Pseudomonadati; Pseudomonadota; Alphaproteobacteria; Hyphomicrobiales; Hyphomicrobiaceae.
UCAAUUUCGAACUCAGCGUUAGGCAGUUGUUAGGUAUGGGGUGCCUAUAGUUUGGCGCAUCCAGUGCUUCUGGAUUGAGUGGUACUGUCCACUCUGUUUGACGCCUCCCUGUUGACUUUUUGAGCCGCCCUUCGAGCGGCUCAUUUUUU